Molecule: non-coding RNA, 30 nt
Filed under: Cricetulus griseus (Chinese hamster)
Lineage: Eukaryota; Metazoa; Chordata; Mammalia; Rodentia; Cricetidae
Source: RNAcentral
ACAUGACCAUAUGAUAUGAAAGAACAGAGC